UGGGGAAUUUUGGACAAUGGGGGAAACCCUGAUCCAGCCAUCCCGCGUGUGCGAUGAAGGCCUUCGGGUUGUAAAGCACUUUUGGCAGGAAAGAAACGUCAUGGGUUAAUACCCCGUGAAACUGACGGUACCUGCAGAAUAACCACCGGCUAACUACGUGCCAGCAGCCGCGGUAAUACGUAGGGUGCAAGCGUUAAUCGGAAUUACUGGGCGUAAAGCGUGCGCAGGCGGUUCGGAAAGAAAGAUGUGAAAUCCCAGAGCUCAACUUUGGAACUGCAUUUUUAACUACCGGGCUAGAGUGUGGCAGAGGGAGGUGGAAUUCCGCGUGUAGCAGUGAAAUGCGUAGAUAUGAGGAGGAACACCGAUGGCGAAGGCAGCCUCCUGGGAUAACACUGACGCUCAUGCACGAAAGCGUGGGGAGCAAACAGG
This 429-nucleotide ribosomal RNA is filed under the name Acidobacteriota bacterium. RNAcentral describes it as "Acidobacteria bacterium partial 16S ribosomal RNA". It matches the Rfam family "Bacterial small subunit ribosomal RNA", at positions 355 to 776 of the family's 1533-position model. Lineage: Bacteria; Pseudomonadati; Acidobacteriota. The record is from RNAcentral.